GGAAUGAGGAUGUAUGCGAGUGGGUGUUUGACAAAACAAGAAUUCAACAGUAUUGGGACGCACAGAUCAUACAGACAACAAAUAUCAUAAGGAAUAUCUAUAACAUUCGACUGGAGGCAGAACGGCAAUACCUUGCACAACAUUAUCAAGUUAAAAUGAACAAAUCGGAAACGGAAAUACAGAAGUUCAAGAAAAGUUAUAAAGCCCAACUGUUACAAUUGCAAGAAAAGGUAGCAAAAGUUCAAGAAUUAUGGAAGAAAAUGGAAUCUAAUUGCUCAACUUCGAAUAAUCGACAAAGAUGCACGAGACUGAGGGGAGAAUUUCGCAUCAUGGUUGAUAUCGUCGUCACAAAGUAAUUGAUUUUUAUUGAAUCCAGUUUUGUAUAUGCAGGAAGUAGAGAAAUUAGUCAUGAAAAGGAAAUUUUUGAAAAAGAAAGUUUGAGAACCAAAGCAAGCACAAACGAAGAGUUUUACCAACAAAACGACGUGUUUGAGGAGGCUGGAUCACUUGAUUAACCACCUUAAUAAUUUUCAGGUUACAUGUACAUACAUAGUAGAAAAAGCUACUUU
Long non-coding RNA from Saccostrea cuccullata (small rock oyster), 569 nucleotides. RefSeq lists it as uncharacterized. NCBI's taxonomy places the organism in Eukaryota, Metazoa, Mollusca, Bivalvia, Ostreida, Ostreidae. The record is from RefSeq and is a predicted model, not a curated record. The transcript has 3 exons.